GGUAGCUCAGUGGUAGAAUGCUUGCCUUGCAUGCAUGAGGCCCUGGGUUCAAUUCCCCAGUACCA
This 65-nucleotide transfer RNA is filed under the name Dipodomys ordii (Ord's kangaroo rat). It matches the Rfam family "tRNA". Rfam says of the family: Transfer RNA (tRNA) molecules are approximately 80 nucleotides in length. Lineage: Eukaryota; Metazoa; Chordata; Mammalia; Rodentia; Heteromyidae. The record is from Rfam by way of RNAcentral.